Molecule: long non-coding RNA, 518 nt
Organism: Carassius carassius (crucian carp)
Lineage: Eukaryota; Metazoa; Chordata; Actinopteri; Cypriniformes; Cyprinidae
Exons: 3
Source: RefSeq, a predicted model, not a curated record
AGUCGGAGUGAACCUACUGUAAGACAACAUCUCAAAGAUGCUAUUUACCACAAGACUAGUACAGGUUAUUAGAAACUGCACAGCACAGGACUUGCAGGACUUGUGAGGACUUCACAUGAUACCAGUACUCAAAAGACCUUAGAUGAUGGCAACUAUAGAUGGACAUACAAACUACCGCCACUGCAAAAAAGGUAAUGUUAAUUUGAAAGAGCUGUGUCACAGUAUCAAGGGCUCCCUUAUCAGUUCUGCUUUCAGUACUGGAGAGUAAAAGAUAAAUUUUUUUUGUUUGAUAUUUUUUGUUUGAUGUUUUUAUUAGUACAUAUACGUUAUCUUGCACAUUUUAUCUCCCCAACAGAUUCUAAUUUGAAAGAAGUUUAUAAUGCAUGUUCGCUACUCCUAAUUCAGAAGACUGAAUCAGCCUGUGUAUCUGAAUGUUUCUCAUACUCACUCCUCUCUGCCGCUUGUCAGUUAUAAACAUAAAAUUAAAAGAAAUAAACAUUUGAAAUAUAUCAGUCUGU